This 497-nucleotide ribosomal RNA is filed under the name uncultured bacterium. RNAcentral describes it as "partial 16S ribosomal RNA". It matches the Rfam family "Bacterial small subunit ribosomal RNA", at positions 28 to 507 of the family's 1533-position model. The record is from RNAcentral.
GGUGAACGCUGGCGGCGUGCCUAAUACAUGCAAGUCGAGCGAACAGACGAGGAGCUUGCUCCUCUGACGUUAGCGGCGGACGGGUGAGUAACACGUGGAUAACCUACCUAUAAGACUGGGAUAACUUCAGGAAACCGGAGCUAAUACCGGAUAAUAUAUUGAACCGCAUGGUUCAAUAGUGAAAGACGGUUUUGCUGUCACUUAUAGAUGGAUCCGCGCCGCAUUAGCUAGUUGGUAAGGUAACGGCUUACCAAGGCAACGAUGCGUAGCCGACCUGAGAGGGUGAUCGGCCACACUGGAACUGAGACACGGUCCAGACUCCUACGGGAGGCAGCAGUAGGGAAUCUUCCGCAAUGGGCGAAAGCCUGACGGAGCAACGCCGCGUGAGUGAUGAAGGUCUUCGGAUCGUAAAACUCUGUUAUUAGGGAAGAACAAAUGUGUAAGUAACUAUGCACGUCUUGACGGUACCUAAUCAGAAAGCCACGGCUAGCUACGUG